GACGAACGCUGGCGGCGUGCUUAACACAUGCGAGUCGAACGGUGAACUCCGCUUGCGGGGGGAUCAGUGGCGAACGGGUGAGUAACACGUGGGCAACCUGCCCUCAGCUCUGGGAUAACUCCAAGAAAUUGGGGCUAAUACCGGAUAUGACCGCUGACCGCAUGGUCUGGUGGUGGAAAGAUUUAUCGGCUGGGGAUGGGCCCGCGGCCUAUCAGCUUGUUGGUGGGGUAGUGGCCUACCAAGGCGACGACGGGUAGCCGGCCUGAGAGGGUGACCGGCCACACUGGGACUGAGACACGGCCCAGACUCCUACGGGAGGCAGCAGUGGGGAAUAUUGCGCAAUGGGCGAAAGCCUGACGCAGCGACGCCGCGUGGGGGAUGACGGCCUUCGGGUUGUAAACCUCUUUCAGCAGGGACGAAGCGAAAGUGACGGUACCUGCAGAAGAAGCACCGGCCAACUACGUG
Molecule: ribosomal RNA, 465 nt
Filed under: uncultured bacterium
Lineage: Bacteria
Description: partial 16S ribosomal RNA
Rfam family: Bacterial small subunit ribosomal RNA
Source: RNAcentral